AAAACUAAAUAAUGUUUGGCAAUAUAUAUUACGAAAUAAAUUGUAAAUCCUACUAUAUUAUUUAGGAAGUACAUUUUAAAUGUAACCUUAUCUUUUGUAAGUAAUUACAUAGGUAUGCCAUUAGAAAUAAAAUUUUAAAUAGUAAAUUAAUUCAUCUCUUUAAAAAUUAAAAAGUCAAAUACUAAUUUAAUU
This 192-nucleotide small RNA is filed under the name Arabidopsis thaliana (thale cress). RNAcentral describes it as "ATSL098700". Lineage: Eukaryota; Viridiplantae; Streptophyta; Magnoliopsida; Brassicales; Brassicaceae. The record is from RNAcentral.